RNAcentral lists this ribosomal RNA (805 nucleotides) under uncultured bacterium. RNAcentral describes it as "bacterial SSU rRNA". It matches the Rfam family "Bacterial small subunit ribosomal RNA", at positions 8 to 796 of the family's 1533-position model. The record is from RNAcentral.
AGAGUUUGAUCAUGGCUCAGAGCGAACGUUAGCGGCACGCCUAACACAUGCAAGUCGCACGAGAGUGGAGCAAUUCAUGAAAGUGGCGCACGGGUGCGUAACACGUAGAUAAUCUGCCCUUCGGCGGGGGAUAACGUUCCGAAAGGAGCGCUAAUACCGCAUACAGCAGUUCCUGGUUCGCCAGGGAUUGGCAAAGGCUGGGCUUCGCAAGAACCAGUCGCCGGAGGAGGAAUCUGCGGCCCAUCAGCUAGUUGGUAAGGUAACGGCUUACCAAGGCAAAGACGGGUAGCUGGUCUGAGAGGAUGAUCAGCCACACUGGUACUGGAACACGGACCAGACUCCUACGGGAGGCAGCAGUGGGGAAUCUUGGUCAAUGGGCGCAAGCCUGAACCAGCGAUGCCGCGUGAGUGAUGAAGGCCUUCGGGUUGUAAAGCUCUGUGGGGAGAGACGAAAGAAUCGGUUCUAACAGGACCGAAGUUGACGGUAUCUCCUUAGCAAGCACCGGCUAACUCUGUGCCAGCAGCCGCGGUAAGACAGAGGGUGCAAACGUUGCUCGGAAUCACUGGGCGUAAAGGGCGUGUAGGCGGGAAGAUAAGUCGGGCGUGAAAUCCCUAGGCUCAACCUAGGAACUGCACUCGAAACUGUUUUUCUUGAGUACCGGAGAGGAAAGCGGAAUUCCUGGUGUAGAGGUGAAAUUCGUAGAUAUCAGGAGGAACACCAGUGGCGAAGGCGGCUUUCUGGACGGUAACUGACGCUGAGACGCGAAAGCGUGGGGAGCAAACAGGAUUAGAUACCCUAGUAGUCC